Molecule: long non-coding RNA, 4778 nt
Organism: Trachemys scripta elegans
Lineage: Eukaryota; Metazoa; Chordata; Testudines; Emydidae
Exons: 7
Source: RefSeq, a predicted model, not a curated record
GGCCGGCGGGGCCCGGCACUGACAAGCGAUCCAGGAAACAGCCUCGGAGUCUGCGCACGGGCCGGGAGCCGCUCCUCUCACUGCGCCUGCGCACAGAAGCGGGGCGGGAUGGGUGAAAGCAGUUGAGCCAGAUAUGUUACAGAGCAGCCGUGUUCUGCAGGAGCUCUGAGAUUUUAAAUGCAAAAAUACUAAGGCCUUGUCUACAAUAAAGGUUUUCAGGAAUCUCCCACUUCGGCUCCAGCUGUAUCACUGGCGUAGCUAUGCAAGUUCCAGUGCAGACAAGCCGUCAGCAGUUUCACCAUCACAUCCUCCCAAGCAGCUGUGAGCUGGAGUAGAAGAUUUAGUAGUGAAAAGCUUGUUCUGCAGCUUCUCCACAAGCUCCUGCAUGCGCUGGUUGGUUUUGUGGUCCUCGUCUGUUUGGAAGAUCAGCUCUUUCAGGCGGCGUUCAUUCUUGUGCAGAGUUUUCACCGUCUCCACGUGACGCUUCUGUUCGGAAUCUAGCUCCGUUUCCAGUUCCUUAAUCUGAAAAGGAGGUGCAUGCAGUGAUCCUGCUCCUGACGCAGCUCUUCUGCCAUGCGGGAAGCCUAAGAGCAGGCGCAGUACAGUCUCAUCAAGCACGACAGCAUUUUAAGGCCAGCAGCGGAGCAAACAGUACAACGACCCUGUAUCAAGAGUGUGGUAUUGGUUUUCACCUGGACAUUGAUUUCGUUGUGCCUCUCAGUGAUCUCUAUCAGCUCCUGCUCCAGGAGUUUGCGAGAGCGCUCGCUGCCCUCCAGCCCAGCGCGCAUUUCUUCCAGCUCGGUCUGUGUCAGGCUGAGGCGGCGUUCCUGGAGGUUGUACUGUUCCCGGAGUUCCUCGUGCUGGCGAGCAUCUUCAUCCAUCUGAAUCUGAAGAUCCUGAAGGCAAAAGAGGGAUCAGCAUGAUUAAGAAGCAUGCAGAGGAAGCUGCGAAGUACCAGACGGCCCACCCAUCUCCUUUUCUUUUCUCCUAUUUUGUUAAAGGGACAUUGUCCAGUUAAAAAUCACGAUGUCUGAUUCUGAUGUCACUUAUGCCUGCUUUACACCAGUGCAACUUCUUUGACUUCAGUGGAGUUAGUCCUGAUUUGCACCAGUGUCAAAGAGCAAAAUAAAGCCCACAUAUUUAAAAAACGAAAACAAAUGUACUUUUCAAUGCUGUUACACCACCUUAGGUGAGUGGUUCUCAAACUGUGGGUUGAGACCCCAAAGUAGGUCGCGCCCCCAUUUUAAUGGGGUCUCCAGGGCUGGCUUAGACUUGCUGGGGCCAAAGCCAAAACCCAAGUCCCACUACCUGGGGCCGAACCUGAAGCUCGAGGGCACUGGUGCUAAGAUUACAGGCCCCUUGCCUGGGACUGAAGCCCUUGGGCUUCGAUCUUGGUCCCCCACCCAGGGGGUGGGGCUUGGAUGGGCUCAGGCUUCAGGCCCCUCUCCUGGGGUCAUGUAGUAAUUUUUCUUGUCAGAAGGGGGUUGUGGUGCAAUGAAGUUUGAGGACCCCGGACUAGGUUAUUAGAGUCACAUCCUCAGCUGCGGUGAGACCAGUUUACACCAGCUGAAGAUCUGGCCUUUAAAGGUUUUUUAUUUUUUUAAUUUUUUAAUCUAAAUUUGGUUUGCCCUUUUUAUGUUGUUGGUAUCCUUUUUGCAGUUCUCUGAGCUCGGACAAAGAAAACAGACUGGUAAGUUUCACUUUUCACUUCAGUUGAUUUCUAGUCAAUUUCACUUUCAGGUUCUCCUGCACUGGAGUGAUGAAGCACUGUUUGGUUUGCAAACACUGCAGGGCACUGUCUAUUACAAUCAAAACCGUUUUCAUUGCAAUUUUUUUAAUUGCAUGGAAAUGUUUCUGCUGGUCUGAGAUUUUGUAAAAGCCUGUGCGCCUGGUUUUUCUCUCACAACAGUUGUACCCCAUUGAUUUGGAUGAAGUUACUCCUGACUUACAUCCUUUGCUUACAAAACCUGAAUUUGGGGGCAAAUGUGACCUGACAGAGUCUCUCUAAACAAGGCUGUAUAUUCCACUGCCUAGAGUUAUUAUAUGUAAAAAGAUGUAACUGGAUAGAGUUUUCCCUUCAGGGUCCGGCUUCCUCCUCUCCAGUUUACCUUGAUCUGCUGCUGCAGUUUUUUCAGUGUCUUGACAAGCUCACUGUUGUUCCUGUUGGCGUGAUCCAGCUGGAUUUCCAUUUCAUUCAGAUCCGUCUCCAUCUUCUUCUUGAGCCUGAGCGCUUCAGCACGCCCCUUAGCCUCCAUCUCCAGACUUGACUGCAGAGAUUCAAUUGCACGCUGAUGAUUUUUCCUGCGGAUUCCAAUGAAGCACAAGUUGGAUCAUUCUGUUACACUUGAGUGCAGCCCAGCCUUUGGCUUUAGUUUCCUCUGCAGUGUGGAAUUCAGAGACUGUUCAUCUUCCACCUUAGAACUGAUUGAAUUGAUUUCCAUGUCUCGCCUGCAAGAAAAGGCACAAGAAACCCCGUCAGGUCACCCUCAGCCUUCCGUCGGGCCUUCUCCACCUCGGCACGGAUCUUCUUUUCCUGUUCCCAGUUGUCCUCCAGCUAAUCAGAGAUAAAAGGGGAGAGGAGAAUCCAUGGCCACAAGAAUUUGAAAAAGCUGGCUGGGUAGAGACAAGCACUCAGUAAUGAUAACACCCGGGCAGUAGAUGCUCAUCAGAGGCACCCAACGUAUCAAUCUUUAAAAACAAGCCCUCACACAGUAAUGAAUGAAAUGACAAUCUCAGACCACCAGUCCUCACCUCGUGUAGCUGAGUGGUAAGUUUGCUGUUGUUCUUGGUCAGAUGGUUCACUUUGUCCUCCUCAGCUUGCAGGUCAUCUAGAGUUUUCUAGGAAGAGAGAGACAGAGAAAAGAGCUAUUGGCGGUGCACUGUGUUGGCUGGAAGACUAGCUACCCUUGUCCUGACAAUAAGAAAAACACCAUCCAAAACCCUAGUUACUCUCAGUGAAGGCGCCUCAGGGUAACAGGUUUAUUAAUGAUUCAUAUAAUUUCCUAGUGUCUUAUUAAAGGUAGUAGAUGGUAGUAAUAAUCCUGGGAUACAGCUGCAGUCCUCCUCAGUCAGGCCAAACACCCACUGACAUUGAUGGGAGCUUUGUGUAAGUUGUCAGCAAGACCUGCAGGAUCUGGCCCAGUGACAACAUGUAUCGUUACAAAAGAACUGCCCUCGUUUGCUCUUGGCUAAUCCACACACCAUCUUUUGCACCCAGGAAAAGGCAGUCUCUUCCUAGCUCAGCUGAGAUGUGAGAAUAGACCACAUUAGUGAGCUCACAUCUCACAAAGACGUCAUUACGUGAGGAAAAGAGCCUGCAGAACAUUUACUAAUUCAGUACUAUUACUAGCACUAUAGUUCAUUAUCAUGACUUCUUGUAUGUUACGCUGUGGAAACGGAUGUGCCUUAACCAGGUCAGCCCACUGAGCCGAAUGCGUCUGGGGGUUGGGUUUUGACUGACUGCAGGCUCGGCACUGUAUGUAAGAAAAACGCAGUCCCUGGCCAGAGGAGGUAGCAAACGACAUGUACAAACAGCAGGAGGUGUGUUUUGCAUUUGUUCACACAAAAUCCAGCAGUUCACAAUAGAUCUCUCAGCCAUUAGUGCAAAGGAGAAAGAUUUUACUUUUCUGCAAUGUACAAUUUGUAGGAAACACAAAUCACCAGCAUGAUUGAGACCUGGGAUCCUUUCCCAUUUGUGCAGCAAUUUAAUCUCUCGAUAGUUUGCGUAGGACACCAUUUCUCCUUUACCAGAGUGCAACUCUAAGGACGCGAUUGGGGUGCCGUAAAGAAAAUGGAGCAGAUUUUUCUACCUGGUGCAACUCCUCCAACGCCCUCUUCUCCUUCUGGAGUUUAGCGAUUGUGUCGUCCCGGACGGAGAGAUCCGAAGUCAGGGUUCGCACUCGGUGGUCUAGCGCCUGGAGACAGGGAAGAUAACAUAGUCAAGAUCAUGACCAGCCAUGUCAACUUUUAGCACCCCUCAAAUCAACUAACUUGUAGUUUUUUAGCUCCGGGAAGGCCAGAACCUGGACCUCUGUUACUGACCUCUCACACCCGCUCGGUGUCUGGGAGUAGAAGAUCAAGGACCCUGUCCUGCUUUCUAUCUAACUAACACUGAUUUCAGGGGAAGCCGCAGGGUGCCACAAGCAUCCGCUGACUGUGACCCAGGGACCGUAUCACACGGACACAGAAAGGCUAUAACAUCAUCAUGGAUUUAAACCUUCAGUGACUGUUCCAAAUAAGAAAAGGUUGAUGGGGAACAGAGGGAGUAUCCUCGGAACUUAGAUAAAAGGCAACUGGGAGGGAUUCAUAGGGGCACAUUUUCUAAGCAAAAACCCAGUAACUUUGCAGUGCAAGGAAGGUGGUGAUUAACACAGGAUGUGGAAGGGCUCUGAAGGCCUCUGUAGAGAGAGAUUUGUGGGAGUUACAGGGAAAUUACUCUUCCUAAUACAGGACAAUAAGGAGAGUUGUAGAUUCAGGUUCAUCCCAGCUCAAGAUAGAAGGAAUAACAGAUUUUUAGAGACUGUGGAAGAGGGAAUAUUGAAUACUGGAGAGGGAACAGCUGACAGCUUCCGAGCUAGUUUCUCAAAGGGCAUUCAGACUGCGUGAGCUUUGCUGGUUGGUUCCCUGCUCUUGACAGGGGUUAUUUCCCUAAAGGGCAAGGAAGAGAGAGCUUAAAAUAAUGACGACGCUUCGUACCUGCUUCUCUUUCUCGGUCUUGGCCAACGUGGUUUCCAACCCCUCUAGGUCGCGCUUCAGGUCAUUGAGCUCCCCUUCCAGCU